AUACCAAUGAGGAACUGAACAUGAAUG
This 27-nucleotide non-coding RNA is filed under the name Cricetulus griseus (Chinese hamster). Lineage: Eukaryota; Metazoa; Chordata; Mammalia; Rodentia; Cricetidae. The record is from RNAcentral.